Adelges cooleyi (spruce gall adelgid) is the source of this 1761-nucleotide RNA transcript. RefSeq lists it as uncharacterized. NCBI's taxonomy places the organism in Eukaryota, Metazoa, Arthropoda, Insecta, Hemiptera, Adelgidae. The transcript is spliced from 5 exons. The record is from RefSeq and is a predicted model, not a curated record.
UAAUUAAUGUAAUUAGUUACUGGCGGCUGCCGUCAUCGUUUUAAUAAUCGAGUGUUGUUAGAUAAAUUACCAUACUAAAAAUAUUAUAAAAGAAGUCUGCACCGUAUUUAUCUCAUAUAAUUUAUUUUGGCGAGAUUCAGGUUUAGUUAGUUACAUUACAGUGCCGUUCUUAAAAGUUAUCAUUUUACACCUUGAUUAACUGUUACAAACACCUACAAAAUGGCAAAUCCGUGUGAACGAUUGGGAAAACAUCUAGAAGGAAUUACCUACGACCAAGCAAAAAAAAGCCAAUAUUAUGAAUUUGUCGACGAUAUUGAAAAUAUAAUGAGCAGUUUAGCAACAGAAGUUUUCGAAAAACUGGGAGUCAGCGGCGAUGACGAGACGUUUAAUAUUGCUGUUAAAGGUCUUGAGAAUUUCCAACAGCACCAACUGAAUGAAUUAUCUGCUUUAGUCAAACAACUUACAUCCCUACCCGACAUCGACGAGGAUGCUCGAAGUUUUUUAAACGAUUGGAUUCCAGGAAUUAAAUACCAGUUUGCACAAAAAUACUACUUAAAACAUGGCCCGAAUCCUCAGUCACUUCAAAAUUCUUAUUUAGUAGUUCUUGAGUAUUUCGUACCAGGCUGCUUAUUUGUGGCUGACAAGUUUGACAAAAAUGACAUUAAGAUUAAAAUUGCUGAUUUUUGUAAAAACACUUUACACUAUGAAAUCGACUGUCUUAAUCAUGUGAAGAAAGCUAUCGAGACAUAUCGUAAGAAGUAAAUAUUCAAAUACAACGACGACAAUAUAAUUUGAAGCUUAAAGUCAUAUUAUGUAUUGUUAUUUAAGAAAAUAUAAAUAUUAUUGAAGUAUAAUGAGAAUAAAGAGAUUUGCUUAACGAAGAAAUCGGAUCAGCAGUUUAGAAAAUAUCGUGGGUCCAAAGUUCAGUCUCAAAAUAAAAACACAUCAUUGUAAAUACAAUACCUUCUUAGCUGACAGCUCCGCAUUGAAACUAAAAAUUAAAUAUACCUACUCACUAGUAAGUUUUUUUGUACAUAUAUCUAGCAUAUAAAAAUCAAGCCUUCGAUAUUACACAUGUAUAAAAAAAUUAUUUUGAUAUUUUACCUAAUAAUGUACAUUAUAAAAUGCAUAGGUAUAACCUCAUUAUAUUGUGUUUUCCAAAUCGGUUAGAUAGUUUAUACAUAGAUAACCUUUAAAGCUAACAAGUAAAGACCAAAGUACUUUCAAAAAAUUAUAAUACUAUAAUAUUAAAUGUUAUUUUAAAGUUUUUCGUUAGUUAUGUAAAAAAUAAGAUGCAACAUUCGUACAUACUAUGUAAGGUAUUCAAUUAGUUAUUGUCAACUUAAAUAAGAGUACCUAACUUGAGAUUUUACUAUAUUAUAAUAAUGGGAAACCCCUAUCCACAAUAAAAUAUACUUCAAAACCUGUAUAAUAUGUACCGAUAUGUUUUAUCAUAUUCCAUAGAGCAUAACUUAUUAGUACAAUUAAUCUAAUCAUUUACUGGCGGCUGCCGUCAUCGUUUUGAUAAUCGAGUGUUGUUAGAUUAAUUAACAUACUAAAAAUAGUAUAAAUAAAGUUUACACCGUAUUUAUCUAAUAUAAUAUAGUUUGGUGAGAUUCAGGUUUAGUUAAUUACAUUACAGUGCCGUUCUUAAAAAUUAUCAUUUUACACCUUGAUUAACUGUUUAACACCUACAAAAUGGCAAAUCCGUGUGAACGAAUGGGAAAACUUCAAGUAGGAAUUACCUACGACCUAGCAAAA